GACGAACGCUGGCGGCGUGCCUAAUACAUGCCAGUAGAACGCUGAAGCGAGGAGCUUGCUCUUCUUGGAUGAGUUGCGAACGGGUGAGUAACGCGUAGGUAACCUGCCUUGUAGCGGGGGAUAACUAUUGGAAACGAUAGCUAAUACCGCAUAACAAUGGAUGACACAUGUCAUUUAUUUGAAAGGGGCAAUUGCUCCACUACAAGAUGGACCUGCGUUGUAUUAGCUAGUAGGUGAGGUAAUGGCUCACCUAGGCGACGAUACAUAGCCGACCUGAGAGGGUGAUCGGCCACACUGGGACUGAGACACGGCCCAGACUCCUACGGGAGGCAGCAGUAGGGAAUCUUCGGCAAUGGGGGCAACCCUGACCGAGCAACGCCGCGUGAGUGAAGAAGGUUUUCGGAUCGUAAAGCUCUGUUGUAAGUCAAGAACGGGUGUGAGAGUGGAAAGUUCACACUGUGACGGUAGCUUACCAGAAAGGGACGGCUAACUACGUG
This 497-nucleotide ribosomal RNA is filed under the name uncultured bacterium. Its description in RNAcentral is "partial 16S ribosomal RNA". It matches the Rfam family "Bacterial small subunit ribosomal RNA", at positions 28 to 507 of the family's 1533-position model. The record is from RNAcentral.